RNAcentral lists this ribosomal RNA (746 nucleotides) under uncultured organism. Its description in RNAcentral is "bacterial SSU rRNA". It matches the Rfam family "Bacterial small subunit ribosomal RNA", at positions 274 to 1028 of the family's 1533-position model. The record is from RNAcentral.
CAGCGAUCAGUAGCUGGUCUGAGAGGACGAUCAGCCACACUGGGACUGAGACACGGCCCAGACUCCUACGGGAGGCAGCAGUGGAGAAUUUUCCGCAAUGGGCGAAAGCCUGACGGAGCAAGACCGCGUGAGGGAGGAAGGCUCUUGGGUUGUAAACCUCUUUUCUCAGGGAAGAAGCUCUGACGGUACCUGAGGAAUCAGCCUCGGCUAAACUCCGUGCCAGCAGCCGCGGUAAUACGGAGGAGGCAAGCGUUAUCCGGAAUUAUUGGGCGUAAAGCGUCCGCAGGUGGCGAUUCAAGUCUGCUGUCAAAGCACGGGGCUUAACUCCGUUAAGGCAGUGGAAACUGAAUAGCUAGAGUGCCGUGAGGGUAGAGGGAAUUCCCGGUGUAGCGGUGCAAUGCGUAGAAAUCGGGAAGAACAUCGGUGGCGAAAGCGCUCUACUGGACAGCAACUGACACUCAGGGACGAAAGCUAGGGGAGCGAAUGGGAUUAGAUACCCCAGUAGUCCUAGCUUUAAACGAUGGAUACUAGGUGUAGCUUUGUAUCGACCCGAGCUGUGCCGAAGCUAACGCGUUAAGUAUCCCGCCUUGGGGAGUACGCACGCAAGUGUUAAACUUCAAAGGAAUUGACGGGGGGCCCGCACAAAGCGGUGGAGUAUGUGGUUUAAUUCGAUGCAACGCGAAGACCCUUACCAGGGCUUGACAUGUCCGGAAUCCCGUUGAAAGCUGGGAGUGCCUUCGGGAGCC